Molecule: non-coding RNA, 26 nt
Filed under: Mus musculus (house mouse)
Lineage: Eukaryota; Metazoa; Chordata; Mammalia; Rodentia; Muridae
Source: RNAcentral
UACACUUCUUGGUGAUAAUGGACUGA